UCUCCUUACUAAAAAACUACACAUUCUCUAAAAAUCACUUUUCAAAACUCUAUUUUUCAAAAUAAUGACAUCAAACAUGGACUAAUGAUGUUAUGGAGUAAUUGUCCAAAUGGUAACUAAAUUUUGCAAAAAAAUUUCAAAUGAUCACUGAACUUUAGAAAUCACCUAAAUGGUCACUGAACUUUGCAAAAAGUUUCUACGAGAUUACUGAAUUUUAAAAAUCACCUAAAUAAAAACUUUUUACAAAGUUCAAUGAUCUCGUGAAAUUUUUUUGCAAAGUUCAGUAACCAUUUAAGUAAUUUUUCAAGUUCAGCGACCCAUUAAAAACUUUUUACAAAGUUCAGUGACCAUUUGAGCAAUUCACUAGAUGUUAUGUAGAGCCAACUUAUAAGACACUCUUUAUCCCACUUCAUUUGUUUCACAACGAAUCUCAUAGAAAUAUAGAAUGCACUAUAUGAAUAACAUGUACUUUGCAGCUCAUUCUUAAUAAUAAUUGAUUAGCCUUAAAGCACAUAAUAACUCAAUACUCUAAAAACAUUGUCCAUGUCUUCGUAAAGGGACCGUCCCUCUGUUUACCUCUCUAACAAAGUGAUAUUUUCCUCUAACAAAGGAAUAUAUUGGAAGCUGUCCAUUAGUUGCUAAUUUUCACAAGAGUUCCUCCCAUAGCGAACCUGCAAAACAUGCAAACUGAAGUGAAAGUGCAUUAGCAGAACAGGAGACACCAAGCAGGAAGAGAAAGAAAUACAAGAUUUGUUGUGGGGAAAGGUAGCAUGGAAAAAAGAGAGAAACGACUGAGUGAUACUUCAGUAAAUUCAACUGGAGACUUUUCAAAUAUAGAUUGAGGAUCUGUAUUUGCUAUUAUAAGGGUGUAAUAUCUGAGAAUCUUGGCAAAUUAAAAAUGACAACUAAGCCAGUACAAAGAUUUUCAAAGCUAUGUAAAUCUCUAUAAGAACAGAUGUAUGUUUCUGAGAAUAUAAGCAAAUUUAGGAAAUCAAGAAUUCAUUGAUUAACCCACAAUGCUUAAUAAUUGAUUUUAAGACAAAAUUAUUGAUUCCCACGGGUAUUGAAAUUGGACUGAGUGAAAAACUCCUAGUAAAUUUCCUUAAUUAGCUAUUGAAAAACAACAAAAGCCCUUCUCUUGUUUAGAUAAACAAAAAUAGCUCUAACUAUAGAGAAUUAUAAAGGCAGCUUAAAAUAAUAAACUUAAAUCAAAGCAACGCGAUUUAGCCCUCGCAAAGACUAAACCACAAAUCACUUGGAUUGCAUCACAAUUCACAAAUACCAUUGUAGUACUUCUAGCCAAAUUUAUCACAUGUAAUGAAGAAAAUAACAAUAGUACCAUGAACAACAACUUGAACUUGUCCUAAUUAACUGUACCAUCAUUCACUGAACCUCCAAUCACAGCAAGGCAAGAGGCUCACCCAAGAAUGAUGCUGUCAAUAUUCCUGAUUUUUACGAGAGACUUGCUUACAUGACUAACAAGUCCCUGGCCUUUAAGGAAUCAGGUUCUAUAAUUAAUGAAGGUUAGUUGGGAGUCCAGAAGAAUUCCUAACCAGUUAGAGACAAUUUCAGUGUCUAAUUCUUUUGGUUCGAAAUAGAUAUUUACCCACCAAAACUGUGGGGGGGUGUAGACAUGAUUGAGAAUAUGAAUUUCAGAUUCUUAUCGUCUUCUCUAUAUACAAGCAACAAUCAUUCAAAUAAACAAUAUGUAGUUGACAAAGACUUAAAGCACUCAACACAUAUGCAAGAAUCCAAAACUGCACGAUAGCAAGACCAACUUAAUAAAUCCAAGAUAUAGGCAUUUAACAAAACAGUAAAGGUGACAGAGAUAACUAAUACUUCAAACCAUUGACCAUUCUUACAAAUCUUCUAAAGGUGCAUUUAGACAAAAGUGAACGGUAUAGGCACACAAGAACUAGAAUUUGGAAAGACAAGAGAACGAAAUACAUAAUUCAUGUGAUUUUUCCAAUUCCAAGAUUGUAAUUUUUAAUACUAGGAAAGACAAGGUAACAAUUUAAGAUAUUAAUAAAACCCAUUUUAUGGAUCAAUAGAAAAAUGAUAGAGAAGUAGAGUAAGCAUAUGAUCUGGAAACCCAUUUUAUGAAUCAAUAGCAAAAUGACAGAGAAGUUGAGUAAGUAUAUGAUCUGGAAAACAAAUCAAUUUUCAAGUUUAAUAAGUACAAAAACUGAGCUAAAAGAAACACGAUUUUAUCCUCCAGGAUAGACCAAUUUCUAUAUUAUUCGUCAAUCUAUGUCAUGGAGAACAGAACCAUCAUCAGAAGAAGCAUAUAUUAAACCAUAUAUAGGGUCGGGUCGGCCCAGCGUAGUGGGAAAAGGAGAAUAGAAUCUCACUUCAGGAGGAUAGGUGAAAAGGAUAGAAUUCUUCUCCAUUAUUGAGCUGAAUAACAUAUAGUUGCUCUGUCAAAGAUCGAACAAACAAAUACCUUUUCAAACACGGACACAUCAAUCAUUAAAUGACCAAAUUUCUCAAACAAAAAAUUCUAAACAGCGUAAAAUAUCAGCAAAUCAACCCCAAAAAAAAUUGUCCAAGCUAAAAUUAGCUCGAAAACGAACAAACUAAACCAAAAAAUUAAUUAAAUUCGAAAAAUAAAUAUAAGAAGAUAGACACGUUAUCUCAGUGACGGACUCAUCGACGAGGUGUUCAAUGGAGUGUCGUUUCGUAGAUUUCACCCUUAGUUUCUGCAUUUUCCUCUCACGAAAUUUGAAAAUGAGAUUCCUG
This 2739-nucleotide long non-coding RNA is filed under the name Olea europaea subsp. europaea. Lineage: Eukaryota; Viridiplantae; Streptophyta; Magnoliopsida; Lamiales; Oleaceae. The record is from RNAcentral.